UUCCUACGGGACGCAGCAGUGAGGAAUAUUGGUCAAUGGGCGAGAGCCUGAACCAGCCAAGUCGCGUGAAGGAUGACGGCCCUACGGGUUGUAAACUUCUUUUGUCAGGGAGCAAUUGAGUCCACGUGUGGGCUUAGCGAGAGUACCUGAAGAAAAAGCAUCGGCUAACUCCGUGCCAGCAGCCGCGGUAAUACGGAGGAUGCGAGCGUUAUCCGGAUUUACUGGGCGUAAAGGGAGCGCAGGCGGCGCGCCAAGUCUGAUGUGAAACCCCGGGGCUCAACCCCGGGCAUGCACUGGAAACUGGC
RNAcentral lists this ribosomal RNA (305 nucleotides) under uncultured bacterium. Its description in RNAcentral is "bacterial SSU rRNA". It matches the Rfam family "Bacterial small subunit ribosomal RNA", at positions 336 to 637 of the family's 1533-position model. The record is from RNAcentral.